Molecule: ribosomal RNA, 549 nt
Filed under: uncultured Glomeromycotina
Lineage: Eukaryota; Fungi; Glomeromycota
Description: SSU rRNA
Rfam family: Eukaryotic small subunit ribosomal RNA
Source: RNAcentral
UUGGAGGGCAAGUCUGGUGCCAGCAGCCGCGGUAAUUCCAGCUCCAAUAGCGUAUAUUAAAGUUGUUGCAGUUAAAAAGCUCGUAGUUGAAUUUCGGGAUCAACAUGUCGGUCGUGCCUCCGGUACGUACUGGCAUCGUUGGUUUCUACCUUCUGACAAACCAUGAUGUCAUUAAUUUGGUGUCAUGGGGAAUCAGGACUGUUACUUUGAAAAAAUUAGAGUGUUUAAAGCAGGCACACGCUUGAAUACAUUAGCAUGGAAUAAUGAAAUAGGACGUUUGACCCUAUUUUGUUGGUUUCUAGGAUCGACGUAAUGAUUAAUAGGGAUAGUUGGGGGCAUUAGUAUUCAAUUGUCAGAGGUGAAAUUCUUGGAUUUAUUGAAGACUAACUACUGCGAAAGCAUUUGCCAAGGAUGUUUUCAUUAAUCAAGAACGAAAGUUAGGGGAUCGAAGACGAUCAGAUACCGUCGUAGUCUUAACCACAAACUAUGCCGACUAGGGAUCGGAUGAUGUUAAUUUUUUAAUGACUCAUUCGGCGCCUUACGGGACAC